RNAcentral lists this ribosomal RNA (408 nucleotides) under uncultured prokaryote. Its description in RNAcentral is "partial 16S ribosomal RNA". The record is from RNAcentral.
CCCUACGGGGUGCAGCAGGAGCUCCGCUAUCCAAGGGCACGGCCUAUCUCUACUACUAUUUUGCAAAGGGCACUCUCGCUGGCUAUUUGUAUGACAAUCCGGGGCGCAAUACGCAUGAACCAGUGGGGUCAGCCGACCUUCUCCAGCAGGCCAUCUGGUAUCUCGAGGAUGAGUUGGCGUAUGUCAGGCAGCCAGACAUUGCGACCAACCCGUAUUGGAUGAUGGUUCAAAACCUCUAUGGCGCAGGAGCCAAGGAUGAUGCAAACGGCGCAUUCGGCGUGGCGGUCCUGAACAUCACGGACUUCAGCGGCGGUCCCGGGCAGGAUGUACUGGUGCUGACGCGGCCUGUGCCUGAGCCCACGACCUUGGUUCUCUUUGGAUUGGGUAUCAUCGGCUGGGCGGGGGGGC